Molecule: ribosomal RNA, 253 nt
Filed under: uncultured bacterium
Lineage: Bacteria
Description: partial 16S ribosomal RNA
Rfam family: Bacterial small subunit ribosomal RNA
Source: RNAcentral
GACAGAGGGUGCAAACGUUGUUCGGAAUUACUGGGCGUAAAGCGUGUGUAGGCGGCCGCGCAAGUCGGAUGUGAAAGCCCUGGGCUCAACUCAGGAAGUGCACCCGAUACUGCGUGGCUCGAGUACCGGAGAGGUUGGUGGAAUUCUCGGUGUAGAGGUGAAGUUCGUAGAUAUCGAGAGGAACACCUGUGGCGAAGGCGGCCAACUGGACGAGUACUGACGCUGAGACACGAAAGCGUGGGGAGCAAACAGG